GGCUGGGUGGCUCAGUCGGCUGGAGCAUCAUCCCAUACACCAAAAGGUUGUGGGUUCAAUCCCCAGUCCAGCCU
This 74-nucleotide transfer RNA is filed under the name Myotis lucifugus (little brown bat). It matches the Rfam family "tRNA". From Rfam's summary of the family: Transfer RNA (tRNA) molecules are approximately 80 nucleotides in length. Their secondary structure includes four short double-helical elements and three loops (D, anti-codon, and T loops). Lineage: Eukaryota; Metazoa; Chordata; Mammalia; Chiroptera; Vespertilionidae. The record is from Rfam by way of RNAcentral.